UCGGGGAAGCCUGGCUGAGCAGCGCGGGGGAGGCCGAGGCGCUCGGUAACGCGGUGCAAUUAGCGGUAUAACCCGCGCCAGCGCAACCCUUGGUAAAGACAAAGCUGUAUGCAAAUCACCCUCCCCUUCCCCAUCCCCCGCUCCCGGGGUCUGACGCCGUUCCCCAGACUGUUUUUAAUGAUACGGUACGCGGAGUAACUUGAAAUUAAUUACAAGGUUCUUGACUAAAAGGCAGGGGGAGGCGGUGUCAUCCGGUGGGUUCGGUGCUCGGAGCUCUGGCCACCUGCGCGCGGCAGCGGCGGCCGGGCUGUGGAGCUCCGCUUGUCGGGCAGCCCGGGCCCGGAGCCCGGCGGAGAAGUUUGUUAAUACGACAUGUCAACGUUGCUGACUUCAGACUGCAGCACUUUUUUAGAAAACCAGACUGAAAAAAUUUCCCCAAACCUCCACUUAAUGGCACAACUGGUCUCGUCUCGGAACCGGACAGCCACUCCGAUGACAGCAGCAACAACAACAACAACUACAACAACUUAAUCCAUUAAUUGUAGCUGAUUCUUUUUUCGGCCGAGAAGAUACUUGUACCGUCUCUGAGUUUCAAAAAAGUAAGCAUCUGCUGUCAGUCUUCCGUCUCCCCCUUUGUUGCCGUGUUAAGGAGAGGACCUAAAUCUGCGCUGCCCAAAUGCGCGGGCGGUGGGCACGGGCGCAGAGGAGGAAACCCACGGCCACAGGCGCAGGGAGUGCUCGCCAUUCCCGCCCCCA
Long non-coding RNA from Catharus ustulatus (Swainson's thrush), 756 nucleotides. RefSeq lists it as uncharacterized. NCBI's taxonomy places the organism in Eukaryota, Metazoa, Chordata, Aves, Passeriformes, Turdidae. The transcript is spliced from 3 exons. The record is from RefSeq and is a predicted model, not a curated record.